Molecule: long non-coding RNA, 730 nt
Organism: Vidua chalybeata
Lineage: Eukaryota; Metazoa; Chordata; Aves; Passeriformes; Viduidae
Exons: 5
Source: RefSeq, a predicted model, not a curated record
GACAUAGAGGUUAGGAGCGGGCACCCCAUAUCUCCCAGAUCACAUUUAGAAACCCUUCAGCAAAAAUGCUGGAAAAGCAAAGCUGGUGACCUGGAGCUCCAGAGGAUUGAGCUCAACAGAUGAACAAACAAGUACUUCAGGACUGGAGAGAGGGCGUCUUCUGCUACCUGGCUGCAGUUCCAAGAGGAAUCUGUAACGUGCUGCUGCUUAGACUAAAAGACUAAAAGCUGUGUCUUCGUGACCAAAGAGAAAGAAAUGCAAUGGGAAUCAAUCGGAGGAACCUCACAUCUCUCACAGCCCAGCAGCCUCUGCUUGGCCCGACUGACAAGAGAGAGCUUUGUGUUACACCUGGCACCAGGGCCACUGGAGCAGCCUUGGGUCCCGCAGUGACACUGUCUGCUCCAUGUCUCCCUGAGAAGCUGGCUUCGGCACGGCAGAAAAAGACACUUGUGAAAAAGACAGAGAAGAAGACUGUGUCCCAGCGGCCUCUGCCCAUGACAACAGCACCCUGACAACAGCAGACUUGAGGACCCUGGCUUCUUUGACAUCUCAUCCAAGUUCUCGCUCACUAUUUUCAAGGAGACUCAGAUGCCCAAAUCAUACCACAGAAAAUUGAUAAACGCCCAUCCUCUGCAGCACAGCCAGUUAGCAAUCGUGGAGCUGUAUCCCGGAGCACCAUGGUGUUGUCCUGCCGGCGAGAUGAGCCGUCAGAGGGCCACACAGACCAGUG